CUUGGUCAUUUAGAGGAAGUAAAGUCGUAACAAGGUUUCCGUAGGUGAACCUGCGGAAGGAUCAUUAUUGAUUUUAAAGAUGUGCUGGCACUCCUUCACCGGUUUGCAUGUGCACUCUGCAAAUCUCCUUCUCUUACCCCACUGUGCACACCCAAGUAGACAAACAGAGUACAGAGCAAUCUGUGUAAUUCCUGAUUUGCCUAUGUUUUUAUCAAACACAAUAACAAUAUCAGAAUGAUCUAUAUAGUAAGCUCUUAACAAGCUGAAUUUAAUACAACUUUCAACAAUGGAUCUCUUGGUUCUCGCAUCGAUGAAGACGCAGCGAAUUGCGAUAUGUAAUGUGAAUUGCAGAAUUCAGUGAAUCACGAAUCUUUGAACGCACCUUGCACCCUCUGGCAUUCCGGAGGGUAUGCCGUUUGAGUGUCAUUAAUCUCUCAACACAAGAAACUUUGUCUUCUUGUGCUGGAUAUUGAAGGUUUUGCUGGCGCAAACAACUGUCAGCUCCUUUUAAAGUAUUAGCAGAGCAGUAUGGGACUGGCCUCGGUUUGAUAAGAAACUUUACUAUGCUGUCGCUGGGUUUUCCUCUUUGUGCUCAGCUUCAAAUUGUCUUGGACUGUCUCUUGAGGCAACAAAAUUUCUAUUGAUCGACCUCAAAUCAGUAGGACUACCCGCUGAACUUAAGCAUAUCAAUAAGCGGAGGAAAGGGUG
Molecule: ribosomal RNA, 708 nt
Filed under: uncultured fungus
Lineage: Eukaryota; Fungi
Description: eukaryotic LSU rRNA
Rfam family: 5.8S ribosomal RNA (bases 276-426)
Source: RNAcentral